UCGAUGGAGAGUUUGAUCCUGGCUCAGGACGAACGCUGGCGGCGUGCCGAACACAUGCAAGUCGAACGAGGUCCAUGGGAGCUUGCUCCCGG
RNAcentral lists this ribosomal RNA (92 nucleotides) under Acidimicrobiales bacterium. RNAcentral describes it as "partial 16S ribosomal RNA". It matches the Rfam family "Bacterial small subunit ribosomal RNA", at positions 1 to 89 of the family's 1533-position model. Lineage: Bacteria; Bacillati; Actinomycetota; Acidimicrobiia; Acidimicrobiales. The record is from RNAcentral.